ACCGCGAAUGGCUCAUUAAAUCAGCUAUGGUUUAUUGGAUCGUACCCGUUAAAUGGAUAACUGUAAUAACUCUAGAGCUAAUACAUGCCACGAAGCCUUGACCCCUCUGGGGAAUGGGUGCACUUAUUAGAUCAGAAGCCAACCAGUAUUGCGUCGUGGUCGCUCCGGUGGCUACGACAAUUGCUGUAGAACUUCUGGUGACUCUGGAUAAUUGUUACAGAUCGCAGUCGGCCUUGAGUCGGCGACGGGUCCUUCAAAUGUCUGCCCUAUCAACUUUCGAUGGUAGGUGACCUGCCUACCAUGGUGAUAACGGGUAACGGGGAAUCAGGGUUCGAUUCCGGAGAGGGAGCCUGAGAAACGGCUACCACUUCCAAGGGAGGCAGCAGGCGCGCAAAUUACCCACUCCCAGCACGGGGAGGUGGUGACGAAAAAUACCGAUACGGGACUCCACAAUGAGGCUCCGUAAUCGGAAUGAGUGGAUUUUAAAUCCUUUCACGAGGAUCAAUUGGAGGGCAAGUCUGGUGCCAGCAGCCGCGGUAACUCCAGCUCCAAUAGCGUAUAUUAAAGUUGCUGCAGUUAAAAAGCUCGUAGCUGGAUCUCGGUAGCAUUGUUGCCUGUGGAUAUUUGGGCGUCAGUGUUUGGCCUACCCGCGGGCGUGCGUAUAUGUGGUGGCCUGGCGUGUGCUAAGCAUGCGUGUGGGCGCCACUUUGCGCGCGUCUUGUGUGGAGACCAUUCAACAGCGCUGGCGUUUCAAGUCUACAAGGCAGCGGUGUCACCUUUAAGCCAUGUCUGUGGUCUUACGGCUACAGGUGUAGGCGGGUGUCGGGCGGCGUCUUGCACUAGUGUGGGGCGCAGUCGGCUCGUCUGCAUGCCUUUGGAUGCUCUUCACCGGGUGUCUGUGGGCGGAUGGCACGUUUACUUUGAACAAAUUUGAGUGCUCAAAUCAGGCCGAUGUUGCCUGAAAAGUUUUGCAUGGAAUAAUGGAAUAGGACUUCGGUUCUAUUUCGUUGGUUUUCGGAUCCGAAGUAAUGAUCAAAAGAGACAGGCGGGGACGUUUGUAUGGCUGCGAUAGAGGUGAAAUUCAUUGACCGUAGCCAGACAAACUAAAGCGAAAGCAUUCGUCAAGCAUGUUUUCAUUGGCCAUGAGCGAAAGUCAGAGGCUCGAAGACGAUCAGAUACCGUCCUAGUUCUGACCAUAAACGAUGCCAACUGACGAUCCGUGGUGGUAGUCCUCAAACCUUCCCCACGGGCAGUCCCCGGGAAACCUUUAAGUCUAUGGGUUCCGGGGGAAGUAUGGUUGCAAAGCUGAAACUUAAAGGAAUUGACGGAAGGGCACCACCAGGAGUGGAGCCUGCGGCUUAAUUUGACUCAACACGGGAAAACUCACCCGGGCCGGACACUAUGAGGAUUGACAGAUUGAUAGCUCUUUCUUGAUUUGGUGGUUGGUGGUGCAUGGCCGUUCUUAGUUGGUGGAGCGAUUUGUCUGGUUAAUUCCGAUAACGAACGAGACUCCAGCCUGCUAAUUAGUGCAUCUGUCCACUGUACCUGUGUUGACGGCUCUGGACCCGGUUGCUGACGGUGGCUGGCUCACGAAGUCUGUGCGCGCGAUGCCUCGUGUGUCGUGGGCGCGGAUGUAGGGGUUGGCUAUAAGCCGAUUGGCGAUCAGUCUGGGGUCAGUCACCGGGUGCGGCGCGGAUGCUUACUUCUUAGAGGGACAAAUGGGUAAAGCCAUACGAAAUAGAGCAAUAACAGGUCUGUGAUGCCCUUAGAUGUCCGGGGCCGCACGCGCGCUACAAUGGCGGUGUCAACGAGUCAGACCUUCUGGCCCGAAAGGGUUGGGUAAACUGGUCAAUCACCGUCAUGACAGGGAUCGGGGCUUGGAAUUAUUCCCCGUGAACGAGGAAUUCCUAGUAAGUGCAAGUCAUAAGCUUGCGCUGAUUACGUCCCUGCCCUUUGUACACACCGCCCGUCGC
RNAcentral lists this ribosomal RNA (1973 nucleotides) under Cyclustera ibisae. RNAcentral describes it as "SSU rRNA". It matches the Rfam family "Eukaryotic small subunit ribosomal RNA", at positions 86 to 1679 of the family's 1831-position model. The record is from RNAcentral. Lineage: Eukaryota; Metazoa; Platyhelminthes; Cestoda; Cyclophyllidea; Dilepididae.